RNAcentral lists this ribosomal RNA (1199 nucleotides) under Candidatus Phytoplasma solani. Its description in RNAcentral is "bacterial SSU rRNA". It matches the Rfam family "Bacterial small subunit ribosomal RNA", at positions 173 to 1374 of the family's 1533-position model. Lineage: Bacteria; Bacillati; Mycoplasmatota; Mollicutes; Acholeplasmatales; Acholeplasmataceae. The record is from RNAcentral.
AUAGGAGAUAAGAAGGCAUCUUUUUAUUUUUAAAAGACCUAGCAAUAGGUAUGCUUAGGGAAGAGCUUGCGUCACAUUAGUUAGUUGGUGGGGUAAUGGCCUACCAAGACGAUGAUGUGUAGCCGGGCUGAGAGGUCGAACGGCCACAUUGGGACUGAGACACGGCCCAAACUCCUACGGGAGGCAGCAGUAAGGAAUUUUCGGCAAUGGAGGAAACUCUGACCGAGCAAUGCCGCGUGAACGAUGAAGUAUUUCGGUACGUAAAGUUCUUUUAUUAGGGAAGAAAAGAUGGUGGAAAAACCAUUAUGACGGUACCUAAUGAAUAAGCCCCGGCUAACUAUGUGCCAGCAGCCGCGGUAAUACAUAGGGGGCAAGCGUUAUCCGGAAUUAUUGGGCGUAAAGGGUGCGUAGGCGGUUAAAUAAGUUUAUGGUCUAAGUGCAACGCUCAACGUUGUGAUGCUAUAAAAACUGUUUAGCUAGAGUUGGAUAGAGGCAAGUGGAAUUCCGUGUGUAGUGGUAAAAUGCGUAAAUAUACGGAGGAACACCAGAAGCGAAGGCGGCUUGCUGGGUCUUAACUGACGCUGAGGCACGAAAGCGUGGGGAGCAAACAGGAUUAGAUACCCUGGUAGUCCACGCCCUAAACGAUGAGUACUAAACGUUGGAUAAAACCAGUGUUGAAGUUAACACAUUAAGUACUCCGCCUGAGUAGUACGUACGCAAGUAUGAAACUUAAAGGAAUUGACGGGACUCCGCACAAGCGGUGGAUCAUGUUGUUUAAUUCGAAGGUACCCGAAAAACCUCACCAGGUCUUGACAUGCUUUUGCAAAGCUGUAGAAAUACAGUGGAGGUUAUCAGAAGCACAGGUGGUGCAUGGUUGUCGUCAGCUCGUGUCGUGAGAUGUUGGGUUAAGUCCCGCAACGAGCGCAACCCUUGUUGUUAAUUGCCAUCAUUAAGUUGGGGACUUUAGCAAGACUGCCAAUGAUAAAUUGGAGGAAGGUGGGGACGACGUCAAAUCAUCAUGCCCCUUAUGACCUGGGCUACAAACGUGAUACAAUGGCUGUUACAAAGGGUAGCUAAAGCGUAAGCUUCUGGCGAAUCUCAAAAAAGCAGUUUCAGUUCGGAUUGAAGUCUGCAACUCGACUUCAUGAAGUUGGAAUCGCUAGUAAUCGCGAAUCAGCAUGUCGCGGUGAAUACGUUCU